This 404-nucleotide ribosomal RNA is filed under the name Escherichia coli. Its description in RNAcentral is "partial 23S ribosomal RNA". It matches the Rfam family "Bacterial large subunit ribosomal RNA", at positions 850 to 1251 of the family's 2925-position model. Lineage: Bacteria; Pseudomonadati; Pseudomonadota; Gammaproteobacteria; Enterobacterales; Enterobacteriaceae. The record is from RNAcentral.
UGGUUCUCCCCGAAAGCUAUUUAGGUAGCGCCUCGUGAAUUCAUCUCCGGGGGUAGAGCACUGUUUCGGCAAGGGGGUCAUCCCGACUUACCAACCCGAUGCAAACUGCGAAUACCGGAGAAUGUUAUCACGGGAGACACACGGCGGGUGCUAACGUCCGUCGUGAAGAGGGAAACAACCCAGACCGCCAGCUAAGGUCCCAAAGUCAUGGUUAAGUGGGAAACGAUGUGGGAAGGCCCAGACAGCCAGGAUGUUGGCUUAGAAGCAGCCAUCAUUUAAAGAAAGCGUAAUAGCUCACUGGUCGAGUCGGCCUGCGCGGAAGAUGUAACGGGGCUAAACCAUGCACCGAAGCUGCGGCAGCGACGCUGAUGCGUUGUUGGGUAGGGGAGCGUUCUGUAAGCCUG